CAGCUCGUCGAAGUGCCCUCUUUUCGGAGAACGAGAAGGCCUCCACUGCUCUGGCGCUUGUGUGGGCGGGUGUCUCUUUCUCCGCCUCGAUCCUGCUGCGGCGUGAGUCUCGCCAGCCUCGUCUUGCAGGGCGGUCUCCCUCCUCUUGUUUUUCGGGUGUGUGUUGUCUUGUAUGGUGCCGUGUACUCAUUCCGCCAGUCCAUGGCCGCCGCCGCUCCUGAGUCACAGCCCUUCUUCCAUAUACUCGGUCUCCGCUGCUGCUUCUUUCUCUCCGCCGCAGUGGCGCCGCUUCUUCGUACUCGGCGGUGAUGUUCGUGCCAAUGUCUUACGCGUCUUCUUCGUACGAUCCGCCGAGUGGCCCUUCACCGCCGCCACCGAGACGCAACGUAGCGGCUGGGCGUCGACUUGCCCCUCUCCCGCCGUCGCUGCGCACAGACCCGCAUCACCAGGUGAGGUCCACGCGACCUGCGCGACACCAACCACCACCCUCCUCGUCGGUGCUUUCCUCGUCUUCCUCGACCGUCAGCGUCGCAGCAGGCGCUCGCAGUAGCAGCAAGCAGCGCCAGGAUGGCCAGUGCCGCCUACCACCUGUGUCGCGGGUGGACCACCCAGCCCCACACCACGCGCCAUCCGCGUCGCCGAAGAGAGCCAUCGCAGCAGCUUCAGUACGGCGGUUGUUUGCGGAGACGGCACCAGCUAGCCGAGGGAGCGCAUCAGGGAGCAGUGGUGGUGAGGUCAUGCUAGGCCACAGCAGGGGGGCGCGGCCCUUGUCGGGGGACCCGCUGCGCGCCCCCGGUUUCGCUGAAACAAGGUGCCCCACCCCGCAGCGCAGAGAGGGCGCCAUGGACGGGUCGUCGAAGCCCUCUGCUGCGGCGUCCUCCACGGCCCCGCAAGGCCGCCCAAAGCCACGUGCGCUUGCAUUACAACGCAGCGGUAGUGGCGCACUAGGCAGCGGCCCCACACAACGUGGCGAAUCUCGCGUUUCAGGGACGGCUGUCAUACAUGGGGCCCCAUCACGGCAGCCCGCCCACCCAGAGCGCAAUGGACAGCGACACACGUCGUCGGGCACAUCUCUGAGUAUCGCGGCAAAUGAUGCUGCCGCUGCGUGCUCAGCACCAGCACUACCGGGCACCGGUUCCCCGUCGUCAUCGGCGCAGCAGCAUGCUGCUAGCAUUGAUCUUCCGUAUGCUCUGCAUGACAUGGACGAGCACUUCUUCACCGACAUGCAGAACUGGAAGACUGAGGAAGAGCUCCCGGGCCUGGUCUGGUCGUUGCUCGAGGGCGUGACGCUGGAGGCACCCUACACCAGCCAUCUGUGGGCUCAAGCCUACGUAAACCCUGCUGACCUCUUGCCAGCGCCGAAGGCGAAAGCAUCCGCGCUGCCCGAUAUGUUUGUGCACCGCGAGAGCCAACAGCGCACCAACGGCUUCUACGCGUGCGUGCGGUGUGGUACACCAGUCUGCGAACCAUCUCAUCAAGUGAUACCGGCAUCUUGCUCUCUUCGCGGUAUCGCAGUGUUCGAUGCCCUACAUAUGAACGGCGUGGAGCUCCGCGUCUGCACGCCAACCGUGAAAGACGUAGCGCCGCCGCAGUCGCGUGAGCGGCGCUCUUCGUCACCGAUUUUCGCAGCCGCCAAAUCGCACGGCAGAGUAGGAGGCGCUGCGGAGCUCGAUGUGGUCGCGGGCGGGCUGCGCUUCCUCGUGCAUUGUCGCCACUGCAAUGGGUGCCUGGGUGUGAUGCGGCUUGAUGAGGCAAUGGCACCUGCCGCCGCACCUGCCACGGCCCUCUUCUGCGCGAACAGCGCGUGCCUCGAGUACGUGCCCUACCGCACGCGUGCCCGGCUUGAUCAGCCGAUAAUGACUGAUAUGGGUGCCGAUCCUGAAGCAGGCAGUAGCGACCGCGGUGAUGGCGCGGCUAGCAUGUUUGGCCGCGCCUCUGUGGCGGAGCACGCCCAGUCCAGGGGUACACUGGGGUCUCUAUUUGGUCCGCCGCACGGGGCGGUGGCGUGGGGCGUCGAGGGAGCCAUCGAUGCCGACUUUCGGGAGAAGCAGGGGAUCAUCAGCUACGCUGGCGACGGCACCGGCCUCGACGCGUCGUUCGACGCCUUGCUGGAGGAUCUCAACCCGUGCGCUGAUCCAACGCCAAUGUCCAGCAGUGUUGGCUCAGACGGCUAGCAAGCAGGCAAGGAGGGCAGGGUGCGGGCGGGAGCAUAGCCUGCAGUCCCGCGCCUUUUCGCAGGCCACGCUUUGCCCCAUUGCCGGGCAUGUGCCGUUCUCCGGUGCACCGCUUGGCACCGCCCCCCCCCCCCGUCGCAUGGUGGACGUCUUAUCGGAGUCGUGGAGGACGGUGGUGGUCGUGGUGGUUGGUGGACGUUGACGGUGCACGGAAAAUCGAUAGACCCGAUGCACAUGGAGCGCAAACUGCGGUGUCUCUUGGACGGGCUCAUUACCACCCCACCCACCCACCCCCCCGCCGCAUAUUUUCUGUUAUGGGGCAUGUUCAACGCGCGCCCCCUACACACGUCGAGCGAGAGAGAGAGAGACGAUACCCAUUCGCAUGUGCGUACUCGAGCGGUAUUCUUUAUUAUUUGGGGGUUUGCUUGUGCACCACAUCGCCGCUGAGGCGCCUACCCGGCUAUACACGCGUGAGCAUCUGUGGUUCCGUUUUGCGUGCGCUAUCACCAUCAGGCGCGCGUUCUCCCUCUCUCCCGUUCGUUGUUGGGUGCGUCGUCUGCGUCUACCGCGUCUGAAUGCGCUUGUGUACGCGGGCACUCACAACUGCGGUCUCUCCCUCUGCGCGAAAUGCUCUAGGGCGCCAUAUUUGUCUCCUGUCAUACAAACUGGGCGGUUGUCUCGAAGCCUGCAGAGGAGGGGCAGGGGUGUCGCAGCGGGAAGAAGCGCAUCCUUCGGCAGCGGCUUGCGGUGUGUGUGCGUGUGUGUGUGUGUGUGUGUCCCCCUUGUCCUCCCACCCUCUCACUGUCGUG
Molecule: unclassified non-coding RNA, 2983 nt
Filed under: Leishmania donovani
Lineage: Eukaryota; Euglenozoa; Kinetoplastea; Trypanosomatida; Trypanosomatidae
Description: gene:LdHU3.21.1800(CDS-product:hypothetical_prote in_conserved)
Source: RNAcentral